CUGGCGGCGUGCCUAUACAUGCAAGUCGAGCGAACUGAUUAGAAGCUUGCUUCUAUGACGUUAGCGGCGGACGGGUGAGUAACACGUGGGCAACCUGCCUGUAAGACUGGGAUAACUCCGGGAAACCGGAGCUAAUACCGGAUAACAUUUUCUCUUGCAUAAGAGAAAAUUGAAAGAUGGUUUCGGCUAUCACUUACAGAUGGGCCCGCGGUGCAUUAGCUAGUUGGUGAGGUAACGGCUCACCAAGGCAACGAUGCAUAGCCGACCUGAGAGGGUGAUCGGCCACACUGGGACUGAGACACGGCCCAGACUCCUACGGGAGGCAGCAGUAGGGAAUCUUCCGCAAUGGACGAAAGUCUGACGGAGCAACGCCGCGUGAGUGAUGAAGGCUUUCGGGUCGUAAAACUCUGUUUGUUAUGUAAGAACAAGUACAAGAGUAACUGCUUGGUACCUUUGACGGUACCUUAACCAGAAAGGCACGGCUAACUACGUGCCCAGCAGCCGCGGUAAUACGUACGUGGCAAGCGUUAUCCGGAAAUAUUGGGCCGUAAAGCGCGCGCAGGCGUUUCCUAAAAUCUGAUGUGAAAAGCCCAACGGCUCACCAUGGAGGGGUCAUUGGAAAACUGGGGAAAAUUGAGUGCA
Molecule: ribosomal RNA, 642 nt
Filed under: Bacillus sp. EGU75
Lineage: Bacteria; Bacillati; Bacillota; Bacilli; Caryophanales; Bacillaceae
Description: bacterial SSU rRNA
Rfam family: Bacterial small subunit ribosomal RNA
Source: RNAcentral